GCGUAUCCAAAAGUUACCAAGUUACUCUUACCAAGUAUCCACCGCCGGAUCCCUGGAUCCAAGUGAUCGAGAUACAGUGUACACUAGCAGAGAACCUCCCCCCUACGGUUAAAAGGACGAGCGAGUCACUGUAAAAAGAAAGGAAGAUAUUCGUAGCACAGCCGAGAGAUGGUUCCAUUUCGAAUGGGUGACGAGUGAGCGAGUACACGUACACACCAGCGAUUAGUACGGCAAUGAUAAGCGCCACCUUUGUUUGAAAGAAAGCUUGUUUGUUCUUACCUGGAGAGAGAGAGCUUCUUCCCAGUCCGUUGCAUUUGGAAAUCCGGUUGAUGAUAGCAAAUCGGUGUCGCUGUCCAGGCAAAGAGCAGUCAGUUUGGCGGUAUAUAAGAAACGAGAACGAACUUUGUCUCCGCUUAAGUUACCUCCAGUGUUGGCUUUGCUCUCGCUCGUCUUGUUCUUGUCUCUCUUCUUCCAGCUCCUCGUCGAGCGAGCAAUGGAGGCUUGCGCCUGUUCUUACUCGCUCCAAGCUGUCGUCCAUGGCGAAUCGUCGAAGAUUUUCUGUUGCUGUUCUUGUUCUCCUCCUCCUCUUGUUUCUCCUCCUCCUUCCCCUGGCUUCGCUCACUUCCCAGCAUCUGUUCUUGGUGUUCUUGAGGAGCCCCAGGCCCAGGAAGUCGAUUUUGACUGCUCCAGCGAGUUCUUCCUCGUCGACCAGUUACUGGCUGCUACUGCGUCGUGCUCGGCGGAUUUCUGCUCGUUUCUUGAUUCUGCUGCUACUGAGCUCGCCACCGUCUGCUACUCCAGCUUCACGGGCGAUUCCAUCGCUUCCACGGACGGUGACGCAGUGAUCGGGCACGAAUGCUGGAAGGAACUGCUCAAAGAGGAGGAGCAGCAGCCUCCGCAGAAGGUUGAGCCAGAGCCAGUGAAGGCGGAGCCUGGGAGGACAGAGUCCCGGCAAGGCGAUGAUCCGGUGGUGCAAGACGAUGAUCCGGUGGUGGCAGACGACGAGCAGCUCAAGAGGUACGUGAAAGUCCUUCCAUCUAGCUGCUCUCGCGCUUGCUCAGCAUAUUCUUUGCUCAUCUCGUGCUAGGAAGUGGGAAUUCCAGGCCGGGCUUAAGCGUGCGCUCAAGAACAACCAGGUCAUCGACGUCGAUGCU
RNAcentral lists this long non-coding RNA (1154 nucleotides) under Selaginella moellendorffii. RNAcentral's name for it is "long non-coding RNA (SMOE_LNC000045)". The record is from RNAcentral. Lineage: Eukaryota; Viridiplantae; Streptophyta; Lycopodiopsida; Selaginellales; Selaginellaceae.